AAGUCGUAACAAGGUUUCCGUAGAACCUGCGGAAGGAUCAUUAACACGUAUCCACGUUAAACCCCCUGUGAGCCUUCACCCCGCUGCUCCCACAGAUAAGCAACCGAGCUUCGGCUCCCCUAUAACCCCAAUUCCUAUUGCCGCUCCGCACUAACAACGCCGGGCACUUAAAAACGUAACUUAACAACUGUUAACAAUGGAUAUCUUGGUUCUC
Molecule: unclassified non-coding RNA, 214 nt
Filed under: fungal sp.
Lineage: Eukaryota; Fungi
Description: partial internal transcribed spacer region
Source: RNAcentral